This 520-nucleotide ribosomal RNA is filed under the name uncultured Glomus. RNAcentral's name for it is "SSU rRNA". It matches the Rfam family "Eukaryotic small subunit ribosomal RNA", at positions 569 to 1088 of the family's 1831-position model. Lineage: Eukaryota; Fungi; Glomeromycota; Glomeromycetes; Glomerales; Glomeraceae. The record is from RNAcentral.
AGCAGCCGCGGUAAUUCCAGCUCCAAUAGCGUAUAUUAAAGUUGUUGCAGUUAAAAAGCUCGUAGUUGAAUUUCGGGGUUAGUAGGUCGGUCAUGCCUCAGGUAUGCACUGGUCUCACUGAUUCCUCCUUCCUGAUGAGCCGUAAUGCCAUUAAUUUGGUGUUGCGGGGAAUCUGGACUGUUACUUUGAAAAAAUUGAGUGUUUAAAGCAGGCUAACGCUUGAAUACAUUAGCAUGGAAUAAUGGAAUAGGACGUUCGAUCCUAUUUUGUUGGUUUCUAGGAUUGACGUAAUGAUUAAUAGGGAUAGGUUGGGGGCAUUAGUAUUCAAUUGUCAGAGGUGAAAUUCUUGGAUUUUAUUGAAGACUAACUACUGCGAAAGCAUUUGCCAAGGAUGUUUCAUUAAUCAAGACGAAAGUUAGGGGAUCGAAGACGAUCAGAUACCGUCGUAGUCUUAACCAUAAACCUAUGCCGACUAGGGAUCGGAUGAUGUUUAAUUUUUAAUGUACUUCAUUCGGUACCG